UAUACAUGUAAAUGUACUUGCCUUUGUAAUUUUGUCAUUCUGUACAUGUAGCUGUGCUUGACUUUCUCAAUGUAUAUUUAUUUGUUCAUUGUCUGUGCUGUCAGUCUGCGUGCACAUGUGGUGAUGGUGUUGGUCUACGGGGCAGUGGCGGCUUGAUGGUUAGGGAGGCAAACUUGGGUCUGGAAUGUUUCAGGUUUGAGUCCACCAGCUGCCACGUUACCUCUGAGGUGCUCUGAGCAUGGCACCGUCCCCACACACUGCUCCCUGGGCGCUCACUUUGGUGAUGGGUUAAAGGUCACAUUUGGUUGUGUGCAGUGGUGUGCUGUGUCACUAUGACAGUAGUUCACUUUCCUUCCUAUACAAGCUCUGGAACUACGGUUUAAUCUGCAGACAGUGACUUAUCUGGUCUGUGUCUCUAGGGCUCCAUAGACCAGAGUUGACUAAAUAUGGUGAAGACAGAUCCUGGUUCAAGGGACCUGAGAUGUUAGACUGGACCUUGUCAAGCAGACACGUGUACAAGACAACUAACAUGAAAACCAGAAGCAGACUUUCAAUGAAGAGCACCAUCAAAUAGACAGGACCCAGGCCCACAACAGCUGAAGUUUCCAUUCUAAUCCCUGCUCAGUUGGAUAUGGAUUUUUGGAGAUUUGGUCUGUGGUCACUGAUGUCAACUACACACUUGAUUCCAGAUUUAUUUUUAUAUUUAUUUGCACUCAGUCAGAAUUUGAGCUGGAUUUCCUUCUCACUACACCACUGUCCUCACUCUUCCUCACCCUUCUUCCCGGUGCUUAAAGAAAUCCAGUCAUUAAUUUUUACUGAGUGUUGUACCAUGGAUAUAGUUUCCAAAAUCAGACAUGGAUCCCUCUGCUUUUGUGGCAAUGGUUUUUCCAUGGUACAUUGCUCUCCAAAACCAACUAGUCAAUGAAGUCCCUUAACACGGAAUGAAUGAAGAUUUGGUCUGUGAUUGUAGUGUUUGUAGUCAUUUCAUCAGUGAUCUUUUGUCCACAUCAAGUAAUUGUACAUGAGAAGCCAUGUUUAUUCAGUUAAUGUUUGUCUUGUUCUUACAGUUGUCCCUGAGUUCUAUUUGUUUAGUUUAUAUUUUAAAAGGCCACUGUUGUAUAUUCCACACAGACGUUUCAUUUAAAAUGUAAUUAACUGCACUUUAAAAGAUAAUGUGUUCAUUAGUAA
Cynoglossus semilaevis (tongue sole) is the source of this 1188-nucleotide long non-coding RNA. RefSeq lists it as uncharacterized. The record is from RefSeq and is a predicted model, not a curated record. The transcript has 3 exons. Lineage: Eukaryota; Metazoa; Chordata; Actinopteri; Pleuronectiformes; Cynoglossidae.